GAUGAACGCUGGCGGCGUGCUUAACACAUGCAAGUCGAACGGAAAGGCCCAAGCUUGCUUGGGUACUCGAGUGGCGAACGGGUGAGUAACACGUGGGUGAUCUGCCCUGCACUUCGGGAUAAGCCUGGGAAACUGGGUCUAAUACCGGAUAGGACGAUGGUUUGGAUGCCAUUGUGGAAAGUUUUUUCGGUGUGGGAUGAGCUCGCGGCCUAUCAGCUUGUUGGUGGGGUAAUGGCCUACCAAGGCGUCGACGGGUAGCCGGCCUGAGAGGGUGUACGGCCACAUUGGGACUGAGAUACGGCCCAGACUCCUACGGGAGGCAGCAGUGGGGAAUAUUGCACAAUGGGCGCAAGCCUGAGGCAGCGACGCCGCGUGGGGGGUGACGGCCUUCGGGUUGUAAACUCCUUUCGCUAGGGACGAAGCGUUUUUGUGACGGUACCUGGAGAAGAAGCACCGGCUAACUACGUG
This 468-nucleotide ribosomal RNA is filed under the name uncultured bacterium. Its description in RNAcentral is "partial 16S ribosomal RNA". It matches the Rfam family "Bacterial small subunit ribosomal RNA", at positions 28 to 507 of the family's 1533-position model. The record is from RNAcentral.